CCCCCCCCCCCCCCACCACCAAGCUGCCCACCAGAGGCCAAGCUGUACUUGGUGUUUGCCAACAUGCUGUAAUUUCCAGCCUGGUUGCUGUAGCCACAGAGGAAUUUUCAAGGACAAGAACCAGUGCUGGUAAAACUGUGGUCUCUGUGGUUUUCCAUACCGGCUCUCGGCAAGGAUUUUCAAGAAAGGAAUACCAUCUCCAAAUCAUGAUGUGCCAAUAAGCUCCAGUUAGCUGCGGCCUUUUCCCCAGGCGGUAGUCCUGCAAUCUGAAUCCAGGAGAUGCAGCUCUGAAUCCAAUAUUUCAGAAGAAUGAAGAUGAAGCAGACCCAGGAGGAACUGUCUGUUGAAGACCCCCCCCCCCCCCCCCCCCACCACCAAGCUGCCCACCAGAGGCCAAGCUGUACUUGGUGUUUGCCAACAUGCUGUAAUUUCCAGCCUGGUUGCUGUAGCCACAGAGGAAUUUUCAAGGACAAGAACCAGUGCUGGUAAAACUGUGGUCUCUGUGGUUUUCCAUACCGGCUCUCGGCAAGGAUUUUCAAGAAAGGAAUACCAUCUCCAAAUCAUGAUGUGCCAAUAAGCUCCAGUUAGCUGCGGCCUUUUCCCCAGGCGGUAGUCCUGCAAUCUGAAUCCAGGAGAUGCAGCUCUGAAUCCAAUAUUUCAGAAGAAUGAAGAUGAAGCAGACCCAGGAGGAACUGUCUGUUGAAGACCCCCCCCCCCCCCCCCCCCACCACCAAGCUGCCCACCAGAGGCCAAGCUGUACUUGGUGUUUGCCAACAUGCUGUAAUUUCCAGCCUGGUUGCUGUAGCCACAGAGGAAUUUUCAAGGACAAGAACCAGUGCUGGUAAAACUGUGGUCUCUGUGGUUUUCCAUACCGGCUCUCGGCAAGGAUUUUCAAGAAAGGAAUACCAUCUCCAAAUCAUGAUGUGCCAAUAAGCUCCAGUUAGCUGCGGCCUUUUCCCCAGGCGGUAGUCCUGCAAUCUGAAUCCAGGAGAUGCAGCUCUGAAUCCAAUAUUUCAGAAGAAUGAAGAUGUUAGUCAACUCUGUAGUGUUUGUUUGUGUGUAAAUGAUUCCAAUGAGUGAGAUUUAUAGCAAAUCAGGUGUAAAUAAGCAUCUUAUAGACAAUAGUGAAGUGCUGUACUCUGAAUUUAAUGCCAAAUCUAGCCUUCAAAACAGAUUCUUAAAGUAAAUUUUUUUUAAAAAUGGGCAUAAUAAUGCUAUCUCUGCAUUUUCUACAUCAUGUAGCCACCUCAUACAUGAAAACACUAGCAGUUGUCAUGAAUCUUUAAGUUUUGGUGUGUUUUUUGCCAUUUCCUUUGUUGCGCCAU
Mya arenaria is the source of this 1325-nucleotide long non-coding RNA. RefSeq lists it as uncharacterized. The transcript has 9 exons. The record is from RefSeq and is a predicted model, not a curated record. Lineage: Eukaryota; Metazoa; Mollusca; Bivalvia; Myida; Myidae.